GCAAGUCGAGGGGUAACAUAGAGAGCUUGCUUUCUGAUGACGACCGGCGCACGAGUGUGUAACGCGUAUGCAAUCUGCCUUAUACUGGAGAAUAGCCCAGAGAAAUUUGGAUUAAUGCUCCAUAAUUUAUUUAAAUCGCAUGGUUUAGAUAUUAAAGGUUACGGUAUAAGAUGAGCAUGCGUCCUAUUAGCUAGAUGGUGUGGUAACGGCACACCAUGGCAACGAUAGGUAGGGGCCCUGAGAGGGGGAUC
This 251-nucleotide ribosomal RNA is filed under the name uncultured bacterium. Its description in RNAcentral is "partial 16S ribosomal RNA". It matches the Rfam family "Bacterial small subunit ribosomal RNA", at positions 57 to 305 of the family's 1533-position model. The record is from RNAcentral.